UACGUAGGGAGCAAGCGUUGUCCGGAAUCAUUGGGCGUAAAGCGCGCGUAGGCGGCCCUGUAAGUCCGUUGUGAAAGUCAAAGGCUCAACCUUUGAAAGCCGAUGGAUACUGCAGGGCUAGAGUCCGGAAGAGGCGAGUGGAAUUCCUGGUGUAGCGGCGGAAUGCGCAGAUAUCAGGAGGAACACCAAUAGCGAAGGCAGCUCGCUGGGACGGUACUGACGCUGAGACGCGAAAGCGUGGGGAGCGAACAGG
Molecule: ribosomal RNA, 253 nt
Filed under: uncultured bacterium
Lineage: Bacteria
Description: partial 16S ribosomal RNA
Rfam family: Bacterial small subunit ribosomal RNA
Source: RNAcentral